UUAACCUGGGAACUGCAUUUGUGACUGCGAGACUAGAGUGUGGCAGAGGGGGGUAGAAUUCCACGUGUAGCAGUGAAAUGCGUAGAGAUGUGGAGGAAUACCGAUGGCGAAGGCAGCCCCCUGGGCCAACACUGACGCUCAUGCACGAAAGCGUGGGGAGCAAACAGGAUUUGAUACCCUGGUAGUCCACGCCCUAAACGAUGUCAACUAGUUGUUGGGGAAGGAGACUUCCUUAGUAACGCAGCUAACGCGUGAAGUCGACCGCCUGGGGAGUACGGUCGCAAGAUUAAAACUCAAAGGAAUUGACGGGGACCCGCACAAGCGGUGGAUUAUGUGGAUUAAUUCGAUGCAACGCGAAAAACCUUACCUACCCUUGACAUGCCAGGAACUUUCCAGAGAUGGAUUGGUGCCCGAAAGGGAACCUGGACACAGGUGCUGCAUGGCUGUCGUCAGCUCGUGUCGUGAGAUGUUGGGUUAAGUCCCGCAACGAGCGCAACCCUUGCCAUUAAUUGCCAUCAUUCAGUUGGGCACUUUAAUGGGACUGCCGGUGAUAAACCGGAGGAAGGUGGGGAUGACGUCAAGUCCUCAUGGCCCUUAUGGGUAGGGCUUCACACGUAAUACAAUGGUCGGUACAGAGGGUUGCCAACCCGCGAGGGGGAGCUAAUCCCAGAAAGCCGAUCGUAGUCCGGAUUGUUCUCUGC
This 701-nucleotide ribosomal RNA is filed under the name uncultured Rhodocyclales bacterium. Its description in RNAcentral is "bacterial SSU rRNA". It matches the Rfam family "Bacterial small subunit ribosomal RNA", at positions 609 to 1308 of the family's 1533-position model. The record is from RNAcentral. Lineage: Bacteria; Pseudomonadati; Pseudomonadota; Betaproteobacteria; Rhodocyclales.